GUCAGACAGAGAUGAUAGGUGGUCAGACAGAGAUGAUAGAUGGUCAGACAGAGAUGAUAGGUGGUCAGACAGAGAUGAUAGAUGGUCAGACAGAGAUGAUAGGUGGUCAGACAGAGAUGAUAGGUGGUCAGACAGAGAUGAUAGGUGGUCAGACAGAGAUGAUAGAUGGUCAGACAGAGAUGAUAGGUGGUCAGACAGAGAUGAUAGGUGGUCAGACAGAGAUGAUAGAUGGUCAGACAGAGAUGAUAGAUGGUCAGACAGAGAUGAUAGGUGGUCAGAC
Long non-coding RNA from Oncorhynchus keta (chum salmon), 280 nucleotides. RefSeq lists it as uncharacterized. The record is from RefSeq and is a predicted model, not a curated record. Lineage: Eukaryota; Metazoa; Chordata; Actinopteri; Salmoniformes; Salmonidae. The transcript has 3 exons.